AUACGUAGGGGGCGAGCGUUGUCCGGAAUGAUUGGGCGUAAAGGGCGCGUAGGCGGCCCGGUAAGUCUGGAGUGAAAGUCCUGUUUUUAAGAUGGGAAUUGCUUUGGAUACUGUCGGGCUUGAGUGCAGGAGAGGUAAGUGGAAUUCCCAGUGUAGCGGUGAAAUGCGUAGAGAUUGGGAGGAACACCAGUGGCGAAGGCGACUUACUGGACUGUAACUGACGCUGAGGCGCGAAAGUGUGGGGAGCAAACAGGAUUAGAUACCCUGGUAGUCCACACUGUAAACGAUGAAUGCUAGGUGUAGGGGGUAUCGACCCCUUCUGUGCCGCAGUCAACACAAUAAGCAUUCCGCCUGGGGAGUACGGCCGCAAUGUUGAAACUCAAAGGAAUUGACGGGG
Molecule: ribosomal RNA, 397 nt
Filed under: uncultured bacterium
Lineage: Bacteria
Description: partial 16S ribosomal RNA
Rfam family: Bacterial small subunit ribosomal RNA
Source: RNAcentral